AUUGAACGCUGGCGGCAGGCUUAACACAUGCAAGUCGAGCGGAGAGAGGUAGCUUGCUACUGAUCUUAGCGGCGGACGGGUGAGUAAUGCUUAGGAAUCUGCCUAUUAGUGGGGGACAACAUUUCGAAAGGAAUGCUAAUACCGCAUACGUCCUACGGGAGAAAGCAGGGGAUCUUCGGACCUUGCGCUAAUAGAUGAGCCUAAGUCGGAUUAGCUAGUUGGUGGGGUAAAGGCCUACCAAGGCGACGAUCUGUAGCGGGUCUGAGAGGAUGAUCCGCCACACUGGGACUGGGACACGGCCCAGACUCCUACGGGAGGCUGCAGUGGGGAAUAUUGGACAAUGGGCGGAAGCCUGAUCCAGCCAUGCCGCGUGUGUGAAGAAGGCCUUAUGGUUGUAAAGCACUUUAAGCGAGGAGGAGGCUACUUUAGUUAAUACCUAGAGAUAGUGGACGUUACUCGCAGAAUAAGCACCGGCUAACUCUGUGCCAGCCGCCGCCGUAA
This 501-nucleotide ribosomal RNA is filed under the name uncultured bacterium. Its description in RNAcentral is "partial 16S ribosomal RNA". It matches the Rfam family "Bacterial small subunit ribosomal RNA", at positions 30 to 523 of the family's 1533-position model. The record is from RNAcentral.